AUUCCAGCUCCAAUAGCGUAUAUUUUAGUUGUUGCAGUUAAAAAGCUCGUAGUUGAAUUUCUGGUGGGAAGAUGCGGACGGCCUCAUGGCUUGUUCCAAGUCUUCCGGCCAUCCUUGGGUGGAGCUCGUCUGGCAUUAAGUUGUCGGGCGGGGGAUGCCCAUCGUUUACUGUGAAAAAAUUAAAGUGUUCAAAGCAGACUUAUGUCGUUGAAUAUAUUAGCAUGGAAUAAUAAGAUAGGACAGCAGUGCUAUUUUGUUGGUUUGCGCACCGUUGUAAUGAUGAAUAGGGACAGUUGUGGGUAUUUAUAUUCACUUGUAAGAGGUGAAAUUCUUAGAUUAAGGGAAGAUAAACUACUGCGAAAGCAUUUACCAAGGAUGUAUUCAUUA
This 387-nucleotide ribosomal RNA is filed under the name Chaetoceros sp. RNAcentral's name for it is "partial small subunit ribosomal RNA". It matches the Rfam family "Eukaryotic small subunit ribosomal RNA", at positions 582 to 975 of the family's 1831-position model. The record is from RNAcentral. Lineage: Eukaryota; Bacillariophyta; Thalassiosirophyceae; Chaetocerotales; Chaetocerotaceae.